RNAcentral lists this long non-coding RNA (682 nucleotides) under Zonotrichia albicollis (white-throated sparrow). RNAcentral describes it as "lncRNA (ENSZALG00000003921.1)". The record is from RNAcentral. Lineage: Eukaryota; Metazoa; Chordata; Aves; Passeriformes; Passerellidae.
CCAGGAGCUGGCCGGACAGCUUGGGCGAACAGAUCUCCCGAGGAUGAGAUCUCCAUAAUUCCCUGUGGAAAAGUCUUUUCACAGUCUGAUGCCCUGUGUGUGCUGGUUCUUCUGUGACCUUGACAGGUCUGGCGGUGACAGCUAAAACCCUGCUUUACUUUGUCAACACUGAGAUUCACUCCUACAUUAUAAAACAAGUCUGGGGGUUGUCACUAUAUUCCACGCCACUGCAUCUGAUCUCGUCUGACAAAGGGGCAUGAGAUGGUUGUAUUCAUCUCAUGAAUACCCUGUUAGAGGUUUUUCAGCAGACACAGUCUGGGCUGUUUGCUUCUAUUCACCACACGUUGGGCUCCUAAGAGAGGACAGCACUACUUAGAAGAGCUUUUAAGAAACCAAAUUCACUAGGACACUGAUUCCUAUUGCAGUAGGUCAGCACGUCUCCAGCUGUACUCUGAUUUCCAGUAAUAGACCUAAUCUUCUAAAUCAAUAAGUGAUUGCAGCCAGAACACCUGCACCAUUACACCAGGUAAGUCCAACCUCACCUCCUUUCUAUGCUUACCUUUGGGUCGGUCAAAUUGUUGCUGAAAGGGCCCUCAGGAAAGGGUUAAGCAUAUUAAUGAACUUGUGUGUUUAAUGAAAUGGAGAUAGUGUACUUAAAAUACUGAAAGGAAAUUUAAAACAG